UGCAACACCUGCUAAUCACUGGCCCCGGGGUGAGACAGGCAUGUGGAGCUGCCCUGCCAGAGCGGGAUCUCAGAGGCUCUUGACAGGGAUGUGACAUUUGCCAUUGUCCAGACCUCAUCACCUGAAGUUGUCCAAGUGUCUCCAAUCUCCUCUUUUUCAUCUCAUCAUGUAUCCCUGUUGGGUCAACAGCUUCCUUGGAGAAGAAGCUAUAAAAAUACCCUCUCCUUUCUAACGUUAUGUCUUCCACCUGUCGUCCACUCCUUCUCUAAAUCCUUGGAAGUCAGGACCCGUGUUUUUGGCUGUGGUGGCAGCAGACAGGACCCGUGACACCAUCACACGUCUCUCCUGAAGGAACGUGGUGGUUAUGGUGAGCUGAGCAAUGUGGGAGCUCAGUUUUAAUGCACAGAACUGACGGUGAAUAAAGCCUUCAGCAGAGCUGAAUCCA
Molecule: long non-coding RNA, 445 nt
Filed under: Junco hyemalis (dark-eyed junco)
Lineage: Eukaryota; Metazoa; Chordata; Aves; Passeriformes; Passerellidae
Description: lncRNA (ENSJHYG00000002265.1)
Source: RNAcentral